UACGGGGGGGGCAAGCGUUGUUCGGAAUUACUGGGCGUAAAGGGCUCGUAGGCGGCCAACUAAGUCAGACGUGAAAUCCCUCGGCUUAACCGGGGAACUGCGUGUGAUACUGGAUGGCUUGAGUUCGGGAGAGGGAUGCGGAAUUCCAGGUGUAGCGGUGAAAUGCGUAGAUAUCUGGAGGAACACCGGUGGCGAAGGCGGCAUCCUGGACCGACACUGACGCUGAGGAGCGAAAGCCAGGGGAGCAAACGGG
RNAcentral lists this ribosomal RNA (253 nucleotides) under uncultured bacterium. RNAcentral describes it as "partial 16S ribosomal RNA". It matches the Rfam family "Bacterial small subunit ribosomal RNA", at positions 524 to 776 of the family's 1533-position model. The record is from RNAcentral.